Molecule: ribosomal RNA, 492 nt
Filed under: uncultured bacterium
Lineage: Bacteria
Description: partial 16S ribosomal RNA
Rfam family: Bacterial small subunit ribosomal RNA
Source: RNAcentral
AGUGAACGCUGGCGGUAGGCUUAACACAUGCAAGUCGAACGGAAGCACAGUACGUGUUUGCUCUUCUGGGUGGGGAGUGGGGGAAGGGUCAGGAAAAUAUCGGACCCUACUUUUUGGUGGGGGUUAACGUAGGGAAACUUACGCCAAUAUAGCAUCCGCCGUUCGGUGGUGAGCGGGGGAUCUUCGCGCCUUGUGGGAUUGAAUGCGCGGAUGUCGGAUUAGUUAGUUGGCGGGGUAAAGGCCAACCAAGGCGACGAUCCGUGGCCGGUCUGAGAGGAGGGUCAGCCACACGGGAACGGAGACACGGUCCAGACUCCUACGGGAGGCAGCAGUGGGGAAUAUUGGACAAUGGGCGCAAGCCUGAUCCAGCCAUACCGCGUGUGUGAAGAAGGCCUUCGGGUUGUAAAGCCCGUUUGUUGGGAAAGAAAAGCAUCAGGUUAAGACCCCGCUGGACUGACGGUACCGAAAGAAUAAGCACCGGCUAACUACGUG